Molecule: ribosomal RNA, 2382 nt
Filed under: Listeria monocytogenes
Lineage: Bacteria; Bacillati; Bacillota; Bacilli; Caryophanales; Listeriaceae
Description: partial 23S ribosomal RNA
Rfam family: Bacterial large subunit ribosomal RNA
Source: RNAcentral
GGUUAAGUUAGAAAGGGCGCACGGUGGAUGCCUUGGCACUAGGAGCCGAAGAAGGACGGGACUAACACCGAUAUGCUUUGGGGAGCUGUACGUAAGCGUUGAUCCAGAGAUUUCCGAAUGGGGGAACCCACUAUCUUUAGUCGGAUAGUAUCCUUACGUGAAUACAUAGCGUGAGGAAGGCAGACCCAGGGAACUGAAACAUCUAAGUACCUGGAGGAAGAGAAAGAAAAAUCGAUUUCCUGAGUAGCGGCGAGCGAAACGGAAAGAGCCCAAACCAAGAAGCUUGCUUCUUGGGGUUGUAGGACACUCUAUACGGAGUUACAAAAGAAAGUUAUAAAUGAAGCGGUCUGGAAAGGCCCGCCAAAGACGGUAACAGCCCGGUAGUUGAAAUGGCUUUCCCUCCAGAGUGGAUCCUGAGUACGGCGGAACACGUGAAAUUCCGUCGGAAUCCGGGAGGACCAUCUCCCAAGGCUAAAUACUCCCUAGUGACCGAUAGUGAACCAGUACCGUGAGGGAAAGGUGAAAAGCACCCCGGAAGGGGAGUGAAACAGUUCCUGAAACCGUGUGCCUACAAGUAGUUAGAGCCCGUUAAUGGGUGAUAGCGUGCCUUUUGUAGAAUGAACCGGCGAGUUACGAUUUGUUGCAAGGUUAAGCGGAAAAAGCGGAGCCGUAGCGAAAGCGAGUCUGAAUAGGGCGCAUAAGUAACAGGUCGUAGACCCGAAACCAGGUGAUCUACCCAUGUCCAGGAUGAAGGUAAGGUAAUACUUACUGGAGGUCCGAACCCACGCACGUUGAAAAGUGCGGGGAUGAGGUGUGGGUAGCGGAGAAAUUCCAAUCGAACUUGGAGAUAGCUGGUUCUCUCCGAAAUAGCUUUAGGGCUAGCCUCGAGGUAAAGAGUCAUGGAGGUAGAGCACUGUUUGGACUAGGGGCCCUUCUCGGGUUACCGAAUUCAGAUAAACUCCGAAUGCCAUGUACUUAUACUCGGGAGUCAGACUGCGAGUGAUAAGAUCCGUAGUCGAAAGGGAAACAGCCCAGACCACCAGUUAAGGUCCCCAAAUAUAUGUUAAGUGGAAAAGGAUGUGGGGUUGCUUAGACAACCAGGAUGUUGGCUUAGAAGCAGCCACCAUUGAAAGAGUGCGUAAUAGCUCACUGGUCGAGUGACCCCGCGCCGAAAAUGUACCGGGGCUAAACAUAUUACCGAAACUGUGGAUGAACCUCUUUAGAGGUUCGUGGUAGGAGAGCGUUCUAAGGGCGGUGAAGUCAGACCGGAAGGACUGGUGGAGCGCUUAGAAGUGAGAAUGCCGGUAUGAGUAGCGAAAGAAGGGUGAGAAUCCCUUCCACCGAAUAUCUAAGGUUUCCUGAGGAAGGCUCGUCCGCUCAGGGUUAGUCGGGACCUAAGCCGAGGCCGAUAGGCGUAGGCGAUGGACAACAGGUAGAGAUUCCUGUACCAGUGCUAAUUGUUUAACCGAUGGGGUGACACAGAAGGAUAGGGAAUCGCACGAAUGGAAAUGUGCGUCCAAGCAGUGAGUGUGAGAAGUAGGCAAAUCCGCUUCUCGCGAAGCAUGAGCUGUGAUGGGGAAGGAAAUUAAGUACGGAAGUUCCUGAUUUCACGCUGUCAAGAAAAGCCUCUAGGAAGAGUAGUACUGCCCGUACCGCAAACCGACACAGGUAGAUGAGGAGAGAAUCCUAAGGUGAGCGAGAGAACUCUCGUUAAGGAACUCGGCAAAAUGACCCCGUAACUUCGGGAGAAGGGGUGCUCUAUUAGGGUGCAAGCCCGAGAGAGCCGCAGUGAAUAGGCCCAGGCGACUGUUUAGCAAAAACACAGGUCUCUGCAAAACCGUAAGGUGACGUAUAGGGGCUGACGCCUGCCCGGUGCUGGAAGGUUAAGAGGAGUGCUUAGCUUCGGCGAAGGUACGAAUUGAAGCCCCAGUAAACGGCGGCCGUAACUAUAACGGUCCUAAGGUAGCGAAAUUCCUUGUCGGGUAAGUUCCGACCCGCACGAAAGGCGCAACGAUCUGGGCACUGUCUCAACGAGAGACUCGGUGAAAUUAUAGUACCUGUGAAGAUGCAGGUUACCCGCGACAGGACGGAAAGACCCCGUGGAGCUUUACUGCAACCUGAUAUGGAAUGUUUGUACCGCUUGUACAGGAUAGGUAGGAGCCGAAGAGACGUGUGCGCUAGCAUACGAGGAGGCAAUGGUGGGAUACUACCCUGGCUGUAUGACCAUUCUAACCCGCCACGCUUAGCGCGUGGGGAGACAGUGUCAGGUGGGCAGUUUGACUGGGGCGGUCGCCUCCUAAAGAGUAACGGAGGCGCCCAAAGGUUCCCUCAGAAUGGAUGGAAAUCAUUCGCAGAGUGUAAAGGCACAAGGGAGCUUGACUG